Molecule: long non-coding RNA, 1286 nt
Organism: Apis laboriosa (Himalayan honeybee)
Lineage: Eukaryota; Metazoa; Arthropoda; Insecta; Hymenoptera; Apidae
Exons: 3
Source: RefSeq, a predicted model, not a curated record
AGUUCGUAAAUCGCUCGCGAUCUAUCGAGCCUGAGAAUCGAAUUCGUUUCUUUGCACGCUCUGGCGAGCACAAGAACGUAGUCAAGGUGUUGCUUCAUAAAUAUGUGAAAAAAAAGAAACAUAUGUGGGUUCAGAGUGAUUUUAUAAUCUUGAUUGAUUUGCGAGCUCGAACGAUAUGAUGGAUCGUUCAAUCGUGUUAUGGAGAUAUUGACGAGGAAUGGAGGUUAAAUGAAAUGAUAAUUUUCAUAAAGAGUUCGUGGAAAGCAUAUUAAUCGCACAUGAUUAAAGCAGUGAAUAUAUUAAUUACGAACGAUAUCGAGUCGAAUCCAUUAUACUUUCAACUGAAUUAAGUGAAAACAAGAUAUAAAAGUUCGAAAGUGCAUCGUUUUUCAUAAAUCAUAAUUCAAUAUUCGUAGAAGAACGAGAAAGUUCCCUUCUUUUUCAUUACAUUGAUCGCAUCUUAUAAACUUCUGUUGUUCGCAACUAGUUCAUCGGUGCAACCUGUAAUCGCAGGAUCGUGUGUGCUCAUUUGCCUUGAAGGAAUACGUGCGCUACCAAUUAAAUCAGGCUAAACUGAAGUCGGUUCUAAGAUAAUAUCAAAAUGACUUCUCUGCGCAUUAACUAGCUCGAUGGACACGAUGAAUGAAGCAUAAAUCAAAGUGAAACGAAGAGAAAUAGAUUAUCGGAAGUCGAAGACUGACUAUUGAUUUCUGGGGAGACCAGGAAGUUUAUUCAUGGAAGAACAAGAAGCUUCUUCUUCGUUUAUGUUUCAGUUUAUCCUUCAGUUCCACAAAUAUUUCAUAGUAAAUAAUUCAACGUAACUCGCACAACAUGCAAUCUCGAUCAUAUUUAUGAUCACGCGAGCGAAUCGAAACGUAGAAAUUAUCAUGUUCGUGGUAUCGUAUUGAAAGUCCAAAGAAAAGAAGAGAGCUCCUAUUUCCAAGAGAUAGUUCGUCGGUUAAUCGAGCGUGCGCUCGAAUUCAACUCGACAUGACAUAACGAUUCGCCGCCAAUUGAUUAAACUUAACGACGAUUAAGAGAAGGCAAAAUGUUGACAUAAAUUUCUAUUAAAGGGUCAUGGGACCGUGUGUAACUGCUGUCGCCAAGAAGCAUCCCUGUUGGAUUAUAUUCACUUUAAGGUUUCAGGCCCGAUCUUUUUUAUGGUUUUUUAAUAUAUUAUGAUAUAUACUUUACUUAGAUCAAGUGAUUCUCAAUUUUCCUUGAAUCACAUUUUUCUUUAUAAUUUAUGAUUCUUAUAUAAUGUAAGAUAAAUUUAAUGAGAUUAA